Molecule: ribosomal RNA, 233 nt
Filed under: uncultured bacterium
Lineage: Bacteria
Description: partial 16S ribosomal RNA
Rfam family: Bacterial small subunit ribosomal RNA
Source: RNAcentral
CGGACGGGUGAGUAAUGUCUGGGAAACUGCCCGAUGGAGGGGGAUAACUACUGGAAACGGUAGCUAAUACCGCAUAAUGUCUGACGGACCAAAGCGGGGGACCUCCGGGCCUCGCGCCAUCAGAUGAACCCAUAUGGGAUUAGCUAGUAGGUAAGGUAACGGCUUACCUAGGCGACGAUCCCUAGCUGGUCUGAGAGGAUGAUCAGCCACACUGGGACUGAGACACGGCCCAG